Molecule: ribosomal RNA, 562 nt
Filed under: uncultured alveolate
Lineage: Eukaryota
Description: SSU rRNA
Rfam family: Eukaryotic small subunit ribosomal RNA
Source: RNAcentral
CUGGUUGAUCCUGCCAGUAGUCAUAUGCUUGUCUCAAAGAUUAAGCCAUGCAUGUCUAAGUAUAAGCCCUUGUACGGCGAAACUGCGAAUGGCUCAUUAAAACAGUUAUCGUUUCUUUGAUAAUCACUUACUACAUGGAUAACUGUAGUAAUUCUAGAGCUAAUACAUGCGUCUAUGCUCGACCUCACGGGAGAGUUGCAUUUAUUAGAUACAAAACCGACCCUGGGUUCGCCCAGUAACCGUUGGUGAUUCAUAAUAACUAAGCGAAUCGCACAGGCUUGCCUGGCGAUGGAUCUUUCAAGUUUCUGACCUAUCAGCUAUCGACGGUAGGGUAUUGGCCUACCGUGGCUAUGACGGGUAACGGAGAAUCAGGGUUCGAUUCCGGAGAGGGAGCCUGAGAAACGGCUACCACAUCUAAGGAUGGCAGCAGGCGCGCAAAUUACCCAAUCCUGACACAGGGAGGUAGUGACAAGAAAUAACAAUGCAGGGCUUCACAGUCUUGCAAUUGGAAUGAGUAGAUUUUAAAUCUCUCUACGAGUAACAAUUGGAGGGCAAGUCUGGU